GAUGAACGCUGGCGGCGUGCCUAAUACAUGCAAGUCGAGCGAACGGACGAGAAGCUUGCUUCUCUGAUGUUGGCGGCGGACGGGUGAGUAACACGUGGAUAACCUACCUAUAAGACUGGGAUAACUUCGGGAAACCGGAGCUAAUACUGGCUAAUAUUUUGAACCGCAGGGUUCAAAAGUUAAAGACGGUCUUGCUGUCACUUAUAGAUGGUUCCGCGCUGCAUUAGCUAGUUGGUAAGGUAACGGCUUACCAAGGCAACGAUGCAUAGCCGACCUGAGAGGGUGAUCAGCCACACUGGAACUGAGACACGGUCCAGACUCCUACGGGAGGCAGCAGUAGGGAAUCUUCCGCAAUGGGCGAAAGCCUGACGGAGCAACGCCGCGUGAGUGAUGAAGGUCUUCGGAUCGUAAAACUCUGUUAUUAGGGAAGAACAUAUGUGUAAGUAACUGUGGACAUCUUGACGGUACCUAAUCAGAAAGCAACGGCUAACUACGUG
RNAcentral lists this ribosomal RNA (497 nucleotides) under uncultured bacterium. RNAcentral's name for it is "partial 16S ribosomal RNA". It matches the Rfam family "Bacterial small subunit ribosomal RNA", at positions 28 to 507 of the family's 1533-position model. The record is from RNAcentral.